AGAGUUUGAUCCUGGCUCAGAUUGAACGCUGGCGACGUGCUUAACACAUGCAAGUCGUGCGAGAAAGUAGGCUUCGGUCUAUGAGUAGAGCGGCGCACGGGUGAGUAACGCGUGGAUGAUCUACCCUUGAGUUCGGGAUAACGGUGCGAAAGCGCCGCUAAUACCGUAUAACAAUCCACUUCAUCGUGGGUUCAAAGCAGGCCUCUUCGUGAAAGCUUGCGCUUGGGGAUGAGUCCGCGUCCCAUUAGCUUGUUGGCGGGUAACGGCCCACCAAGGCUACGAUGGGUAGCUGGUCUGAGAGGAUGAUCAGCCACACUGGAACUGAAACACGGUCCAG
RNAcentral lists this ribosomal RNA (337 nucleotides) under uncultured bacterium. Its description in RNAcentral is "bacterial SSU rRNA". It matches the Rfam family "Bacterial small subunit ribosomal RNA", at positions 8 to 334 of the family's 1533-position model. The record is from RNAcentral.